GACGAACGCUGGCGGCGUGCUUAACACAUGCCAGUCGAACGGCAAGGCCCUGCUUUUGUGGGGUUCUCGAGUGGCGAACGGGUGAGUAGCACGUGAGUAACCUGCUCUUGACUUUCGUAUAACUUCACGAAACUGGGGCUACUACCGGAUAGGAGCUCCUGCUGCAUGGUGGGGGUUGGAACGUUUCAGCGGGUGGGGAUGGACUCGCGGCUUAUCAGCUUGUUGGUGGGGUAGUGGCUUACCAAGGCUUUGACGGGUAGCCGGCCUGUGAGGGUGACCGGCGACAGUGGGACUGAGAUACGGCCCAGACUGCUACGGGAGGCAGCAGUGGGGAGUAUUGCACAGUGGGCGGAAGCCUGAUGAAGCAACGCCGCGUGCGGGAUGACGGUCUUCGGGUUGUAAACCGCUGUCGCCUGUGACGAAGCGUGAGUGACGGUAAUGGGUAAAGAAGCACCGGCUAACUACGUG
This 468-nucleotide ribosomal RNA is filed under the name uncultured bacterium. RNAcentral describes it as "partial 16S ribosomal RNA". It matches the Rfam family "Bacterial small subunit ribosomal RNA", at positions 28 to 507 of the family's 1533-position model. The record is from RNAcentral.